This 400-nucleotide ribosomal RNA is filed under the name uncultured bacterium. RNAcentral describes it as "bacterial SSU rRNA". It matches the Rfam family "Bacterial small subunit ribosomal RNA", at positions 362 to 758 of the family's 1533-position model. The record is from RNAcentral.
UUUUGGACAAUGGGGGCAACCCUGAUCCAGCAAUGCCGCGUGAGUGAAGAAGGCCUUCGGGUUGUAAAGCUCUUUUGUCAGGGAAGAAACGGUGGGGGCUAAUAUCCUCUGCUAAUGACGGUACCUGAAGAAUAAGCACCGGCUAACUACGUGCCAGCAGCCGCGGUAAUACGUAGGGUGCAAGCGUUAAUCGGAAUUACUGGGCGUAAGGCGUGCGCAGGCGGUCGUGCGAGACAGAUGUGAAAUCCCCGGGCUCAACCUGGGAAUUGCAUUUGUGACUGCACGGCUAGAGUGUGUCAGAGGGGGGUAGAAUUCCACGUGUAGCAGUGAAAUGCGUAGAUAUGUGGAGGAAUACCGAUGGCGAAGGCAGCCCCCUGGGAACACUGCGCUCAGCACGAAA